Molecule: ribosomal RNA, 207 nt
Filed under: uncultured delta proteobacterium
Lineage: Bacteria; Deltaproteobacteria
Description: partial 16S ribosomal RNA
Rfam family: Bacterial small subunit ribosomal RNA
Source: RNAcentral
CGUGUAGGCGGCCUGAUGUGUCAGAUGUGAAAGCCCUGGGCUUAACCCAGGAAGUGCAUUUGAAACUGUCAGGCUUGAGUAGGGGAGAGGGAAGUGGAAUUCCUGGUGUAGAGGUGAAAUUCGUAGAUAUCAGGAGGAACACCGGUGGCGAAGGCGACUUCCGGGCCCUAUACUGACGCUGAGACGCGAGAGCGUGGGUAGCAAACA